RNAcentral lists this non-coding RNA (21 nucleotides) under Caenorhabditis elegans. Lineage: Eukaryota; Metazoa; Nematoda; Chromadorea; Rhabditida; Rhabditidae. The record is from RNAcentral.
UAGUCUCCUUUCUUUCUAAUU